This 864-nucleotide ribosomal RNA is filed under the name uncultured bacterium. Its description in RNAcentral is "bacterial SSU rRNA". It matches the Rfam family "Bacterial small subunit ribosomal RNA", at positions 524 to 1380 of the family's 1533-position model. The record is from RNAcentral.
UACGGAGGGUGCAAGCGUUACUCGGAAUCACUGGGCGUAAAGCGCGCGCAGGCGGUUAGGAAAGUCAGAAGUGAAAUCCUACAGCUCAACUGUAGAACUGCUUCUGAAACUCUCUAACUAGAGUCUGGGAGAGGUAGCUGGAAUUAGUGGUGUAGGGGUAAAAUCCGCAGAGAUCACUAGGAAUACCAAAAGCGAAGGCAAGCUACUGGAACAGAACUGACGCUGAGGCGCGAAAGCGUGGGGAGCAAACAGGAUUAGAUACCCUGGUAGUCCACGCCCUAAACGAUGGAUGCUAGUCGUUGGGAAGCUAGUCUUCCCAGUGAUGCAGUUAACACAUUAAGCAUCCCGCCUGGGGAGUACGGUCGCAAGAUUAAAACUCAAAGGAAUAGACGGGGACCCGCACAAGUGGUGGAGCAUGUGGUUUAAUUCGAAGAUACGCGAAGAACCUUACCUGGCCUUGACAUCCCGCGAACCCUGCAGAGAUGCAGGGGUGCCCCCUUAUGGGGGAACGCGGUGACAGGUGCUGCACGGCUGUCGUCAGCUCGUGUCGUGAGAUGUUGGGUUAAGUCCCGCAACGAGCGCAACCCUCGCCCUUAGUUGCUAACAGUUUUAGCUGANCANUCUAAGGGGACUGCCUGGGUAACCAGGAGGAAGGUGAGGAUGACGUCAAGUCAUCAUGGCCCUUACGGCCAGGGCGACACACGUGCUACAAUGGGUAGGACAAUGAGAUGCAAUACCGCGAGGUGGAGCNAAAUCUAUAAACCUACUCUCAGAUUCGGAUUGUAGUCGNCAACUCGACUACAUGAAGCUGGAAUCACUAGUAAUCGUGGAUCAGCCAUGCCACGGUGAAUACGUUCCCGGGUC